Molecule: ribosomal RNA, 1473 nt
Filed under: Triticum aestivum (bread wheat)
Lineage: Eukaryota; Viridiplantae; Streptophyta; Magnoliopsida; Poales; Poaceae
Description: partial small subunit ribosomal RNA
Source: RNAcentral
AUGGCGACUUCACUCCCGCUCAGCCUCCUAGCGCCGGUAUACAGCUUUGUCUCCAGCCACCGCCUAAGCCUCGCCGCCUUCCCCUUCUCGGCCACGGCCGCGCUGCGCUUCACCGCCUGGCUCUACCCCACUGUAAGCAGCGCCGUCCAUCACUGCACCCCACUCUAUGCCGGCCUCACUUUGCUCGCCGUCGUACUAGUCCUCUACAUCCGGUCGACCACGGUGCGCGCGGUGUACCUCGUGGACUACGCAUGCUUCCGGCCGCCGGCCGCCCUCCGCGUGCCGCUCUCCAAGUACAUCGAGCACACCGGGCUCGCGCCGUGCUUUGACGACAAGAGCGUCGGCUUCCAGUCGCGCCUCAUCGAGCGCUCGGGCUUCGGUGAGGAGACAUGCCUCCCGCCGGCCUGCCACGUCAUCCCUCCGGAGAAGACCCUCAAGGCGGCCCGCGCCGAGGCCGAGCAAGGGAUAUUCUCCGCCGUCGAUGCCGUUCUCGCCAAGACCGGCGUCCGCGCCGAGGACAUCGGAGUGGUGGUGGUGAACUGCACGCUGUUCGCCCCAACGCCGUCCAUGGCUGACAUGGUAGUGCGCAGGUACGGGUUCCGCAGCGAUGUCCGGUGCUUCAGCCUUUCCGGGAUGGGGUGCAGCGCCGGGAUAGCCGGCAUCGGGCUGGCGGAGAACAUCCUGCAGUGCGACAGCAGGUGCAAGUACGCGCUCGUGGUGUCCACGGAGAUUCUCACCUCGGAUUACUACUCCGGCAACGAGCGCGCGAUGCUGCUGCAGAACUGCCUCUUCCGGAUGGGCGCGUCCGCGGUGCUGCUCUCCACGUCCCCCGCGAGGGCGCGACACGCGCGGUACCGCCUGGCCCGGGUGGUGCGCACGCACGCGGGGCACGACGACCGCGCCUAUGGGUGCGUGCAGCAGGAGGACGACGCGGCGGGCGAGCGCGGCAUCGCGCUGUCCAAGGAUGUCAUGCCCGUGGCCGGCGACACGCUGAAGGCGCACAUGACCACGCUCGGGCCCCUCGUGCUCCCGGCGUCGGAACUCCUUGCGUACGCGCUCUCGCUCGCGAGGCGCAGGCUGCUGCUCAUGGCGGGGCAGAAGGACAGCAGCAAGCCGCGCGUCCCCGACUUCCGCAUGGCGUUCGAGCACUUCUGCAUCCACGCGGGCGGCCGUGCGGUGAUCGACGAGCUGCAGCGCGGCCUCGGGCUGUCGGACAAGCAGGUGGAGCCGUCGCGCAUGGCGCUGCACCGGUUCGGCAACACGUCGAGCAGCUCGACGUGGUACGAGCUGGCCUACCUGGAGGCCAAGUGCCGCGUGCGCAAGGGAGACCGUGUUUGGAUGGUCGGGUUUGGUUCAGGGUUCAAGUGCAACAGCGCAGUGUGGGUGUGCAUCCGGUCGCCGGUUCCUCUGGACAGCGGGCCAUGGGAGGGCUGCAUGCAUCGUUACCCGGUGGCCGCGGAUCAACGAGACUGA